AACCAAAGGGGGCGAGCGUAAGCAGCUCUCACCGAAGGAGGAGCCUGCGUCCGAUUAGCUAGUUGGUGGGGUAAUGGCCUACCAAGGCGACGAUCGGUAGCCGGCCUGAGAGGGCGAUCGGCCACACUGGAACUGAGACACGGUCCAGACUCCUACUGGAGGCAGCAGUGGGGAAUAUUGCGCAAUGGGCGAAAGCCUGACGCAGCGACGCCGCGUGGGUGAUGAAGGCCUUCGGGUCGUAAAGCCCUGUCUGGUGGAACGAAACGCCUGGCGGCCAAUACCCGCCGGGUUUGACGGUACCACCGAAGGAAGCCCCGGCUAACUACGUGCCAGCAGCCGCGGUAAGACGUAGGGGGCGAGCGUUGUUCGGAUUUACUGGGCGUAAAGCGCGCGUAGGCGGCCAGAUAAGUCGGGUGUGAAAGCCCUCGGCUCAACCGAGGUUCCGCAUCCGAUACUGCUUGGCUGGAGUCUAGGAGAGGAGAGCGGAAUUCCCAGUGUAGCGGUGAAAUGCGUAGAUAUUGGGAGGAACACCCGUGGCGAAGGCGGCUCUCUGGACUAGUACUGACGCUGAGGCGCGAAAGCUAGGGGAGCGAACGGGAUUAGAUACCCCGGUAGUCCUAGCCGUAAACGAUGGGCACUAGGUGUGGGAAGUAUUGACCCCUUCCGCGCCGAAGCUAACGCAUUAAGUGCCCCGCCUGGGGAGUACGGCCGCAAGGCUAAAACUCAAAGGAAUUGACGGGGG
Molecule: ribosomal RNA, 742 nt
Filed under: uncultured Methylomirabilota bacterium
Lineage: Bacteria; Methylomirabilota (SeqCode)
Description: bacterial SSU rRNA
Rfam family: Bacterial small subunit ribosomal RNA
Source: RNAcentral